This 1268-nucleotide long non-coding RNA is filed under the name Mus musculus (house mouse). RNAcentral describes it as "predicted gene, 32006". Lineage: Eukaryota; Metazoa; Chordata; Mammalia; Rodentia; Muridae. The record is from RNAcentral.
GAGCACUGGGCUUGUCUCUGGUGAGUGCUGGUGUCUCUGGCAAAGAGAUGGGGCACAGAGUGAAGGGGGCUGGGUGGAACUGAGAGACAAGAUGGCUUAUUUCUGCCACCCUGGGGGAAAGUCUCUUGCUGGCUGGGACCUCGGUGCGCUUUCAGGGCUUAGGACUUCCUCUGGCUGUGAUCCUGGCCUUGUCCCGUCCUCAUAACCACAGUGCAGGCGUAUGUAACAACUGACUCAAGAAGACUCCUGGACACUUUACAAUGGGACCUGGAUGCCGGGCCUGAACAAGCUGGCUGUCCCCAGAGCUCAUGACAUUUGAUCUUCAACCCAAGGACAGCCCAUGCUUCCUGUGGUUGCUGUCUUUUGGUUUGUCGGUGCCUCUGUCCCCUGUUGGGCUCCUUGGAGGGAGCUUGCUUGCAAGCAGACGGAUGGAAGCCCACCUGACCUGUCUAGCUGUGGCCACUUCCUCCUUCCCAGCUCAGCCUUUGCUGUGAGAGCUCGGAGUGAAUGCCUUUGAGACCAAACAACAGGAAACCACGAAGCAGGGGUACAUUGGAGGUGUGAGGCCAGGAACAGGAGCACACCAGGAUGAAGGAGCACACCAGGAUGAAGGAGCACACCAGGAUGAAGGAGCACACCAGGAUGAAGGAGCACACCAGGAUGAAGGAGCACACCAGGAUGAAGGAGCACACCAGGAUGAAGGAGCACACCAGGAUGAAGGAGCACAGGCCCUACUUGUCAAGCCUGCUGACUUGGGCUGCUCAGGCUUCUGGUCUUUCAGCCCGGACAGGGGGUAACUGUUCUCUGGGGAUGGAGCUGUGAACGAGGCAAGAACUCAGUUCACAACAGAGCCAACAGAACUCAGAGAGGCACGAGGCACCAGCCCAAGUACUGCCUAAGAAAGAGGGAUGGGGACCCAGGUGGUGCCGAGCUGCGGUGGUCCUUCGGGUGCUAUAAACGCUCAGAUCACCCCGUCUCCUGUAACUCCACGUCUGUGCUCCCAAGAGGAAGAGCAUCAAGCUCAGUGCUCCGUGAGGCUGGAUGUGGAUGGAUUCUGUCUGGUCCUCUCCGGCCUGGGGGGACAUCAGAGCACAGGCUGGUGAGCCGGCCCUGUGGGUGAAGACAGUUCACCUACCCGAUGGCCUGAACUGACUUCCACAGGUGUCCUCCGAUCUGACUGCUACCCCUGUGCUCUGUCUGCAUCCUCUCCUGGUAACUAAAACUAUCAUUAAAACCCUUUUAAAAGCUGUCAUCGUUUUCUAAUGGCA